AUACGUAGGUGGCAAGCGUUAUCCGGAAUUAUUGGGCGUAAAGAGGGAGCAGGCGGCAGCAAGGGUCUGUGGUGAAAGCCUGAAGCUUAACUUCAGUAAGCCAUAGAAACCAGGCAGCUAGAGUGCAGGAGAGGAUCGUGGAAUUCCAUGUGUAGCGGUGAAAUGCGUAGAUAGAUGGAGGAACACCAGUGGCGAAGGCGUCGAUCGGGCCUGCAACGAACGCUCAGUCCCGAAAGCGUGGGGAGCAAAUGGGAAUAGAUACCCUAGUAGUCCACGCCGUAAACGAUGAGUACUAAGUGUUGGAUGUCAAAGUUCAGUGCUGCAGUUAACGCAAUAAGUACUCCGCCUGAGGAGUACGUUCGCAAGAAUGAAACUCAAAUGAAUUGACGGGG
Molecule: ribosomal RNA, 392 nt
Filed under: uncultured bacterium
Lineage: Bacteria
Description: partial 16S ribosomal RNA
Rfam family: Bacterial small subunit ribosomal RNA
Source: RNAcentral